RNAcentral lists this ribosomal RNA (253 nucleotides) under uncultured bacterium. RNAcentral's name for it is "partial 16S ribosomal RNA". It matches the Rfam family "Bacterial small subunit ribosomal RNA", at positions 524 to 776 of the family's 1533-position model. The record is from RNAcentral.
GACGUGGGGGGCCAGCGUUGCUCGGAAUUACUGGGUGUAAAGGGUUCGUAGGCGGUGUAGCAAGUUGGGAGUGAAAUCUCUGGGCUCAACCCAGAGGCUGCUUCCAAAACUGCUGUGCUUGAGUGUGGGAGAGGCGCGUGGAAUUGCAGGUGUAGCGGUGAAAUGCGUAGAUAUCUGCAGGAACACCCGUGGCGAAAGCGGCGCACUGGACCAUAACUGACGCUGAGGCGCGAAAGCUAGGGGAGCAAACAGG